This 839-nucleotide ribosomal RNA is filed under the name uncultured candidate division CAB-I bacterium. RNAcentral describes it as "bacterial SSU rRNA". It matches the Rfam family "Bacterial small subunit ribosomal RNA", at positions 9 to 871 of the family's 1533-position model. The record is from RNAcentral.
GAGUUUGAUCAUGGCUCAGGAUGAACGCACAAGACGUGCCUAACACAUGCAAAUCGAAUGAAAAUAAUUAAUUAUUGUUUUCAUGGUGAACGGGUGAGUAACACAUAAGAAUCAGCUUUUAGAUAAGGCAUAAAAGAGUAAUAUCUUGGUAAUUCCUUAUAUGCGCAGCAGUGCUUAAAAAGGGGAGUCCCGUCUAAAAACGAGCUUAUGCCUGAUUAGCUAGUUGGCGAGUUAAAAGCUCACCAAGGCGAAGAUCAGUAGCUGGCCUGAGAGGGCGGCCAGCCACAUUGGGACUGAGACACGGCCCAAACUCCUACGGGAGGCAGCAGUGGGGAAUCUUCUGCAAUGGGCGCAAGCCUGACAGAGCGGCGUCGUGUGAAGGAAGAAGGCCUGAAAUAGGUUGUAAACUUCUUUUACUGAGUAAUGAAUAAUGACAAUGCAGUAAAAAAGUAUCGGCUAACUCCGUGCCAGCAGCCGCGGUAAUACGGGGGAUGCAAGCGUUAUCCGGAAUCACUGGGCGUAAAGCGUCUGUAGGUGGUUUAGUGUGUUCUUAGUUAAAUUAUGAAGCUUAACUUCAUGAAAAGUAAGAAAACUAUUAGACUUGAGUACGAUAGGGGUAAGAGGAAUUCUUCGAGAAGUAGUGAAAUGCGAAGAUACGAAGGAGAAGAUCAUAAGCGAAGGCUUCUUACUGGGUCGUAACUGACACUGAGAGACGAAAGCUAGGGGAGCGAAUGGGAUUAGAUACCCCAGUAGUCCUAGCUGUAAACGAUGGAUAUUCGGUGCCGGAAAUUUUAUUAGAAACAUUUCGGUACCCUAGCUAACGCGGUUAAAUUAUCCCG